RNAcentral lists this ribosomal RNA (492 nucleotides) under uncultured bacterium. RNAcentral's name for it is "partial 16S ribosomal RNA". It matches the Rfam family "Bacterial small subunit ribosomal RNA", at positions 29 to 507 of the family's 1533-position model. The record is from RNAcentral.
AGUGAACGCUGGCGGUAGGCCUAACACAUGCAAGUCGAACGGCAGCACAGUAAGAGCUUGCUCUUACGGGUGGCGAGUGGCGGACGGGUGAGGAAUACAUCGGAAUCUACUUUUUCGUGGGGGAUAACGUAGGGAAACUUACGCUAAUACCGCAUACGACCUACGGGUGAAAGCAGGGGAUCUUCGGACCUUGCGCGAUUGAAUGAGCCGAUGUCGGAUUAGCUAGUUGGCGGGGUAAAGGCCCACCAAGGCGACGAUCCGUAGCUGGUCUGAGAGGAUGAUCAGCAAAACUGGAAAUGAGCCAAGGUCAAGACUCCUACGGGAGGCAGCAGUGGGGAAUAUUGGACAAUGGGCGCAAGCCUGAACAAGCUAUACCGCGUAGGUGAAGAAGGCCUUCGGGUGGUAAAGCCCUUUUGUUGGGAAAGAAAAGAAGCAGGUUAAUACCCCGCUGUCCUGACGGUACCCAAAGAAUAAGCAACGGCUAACUUCGUG